AACCUCCGCAAUGUGAGAAAUCGCGACGGGGGGAUCCCAAGUGCCAUUCUUAACGGGAUGGCUUUUCAUUAGUGUAAAGAGCUUUUGGAAUAAGAGCUGGGCAAGACCGGUGCCAGCCGCCGCGGUAACACCGGCAGCUCUAGUGGUAACAAUUUUUAUUGGGCCUAAAGCGUCCGUAGCCGGUUUAAUAAGUCUCUGGUGAAAUCCUGUAGCUUAACUGUGGGAAUUGUUGGAGAUACUAUUAGACUUGAGACCGGGAGAGGUUAGAGGUACUCCCAGGGUAGAGGUGAAAUUCUGUAAUCCUGGGAGGACCGCCUGUUGCGAAGGCGUCUAACUGGAACGGUUCUGACGGUGAGGGACGAAAGUUAGGGGCGCGAACCGGAUUAGAUACCCGGGUAGUCCUAACUGUAAACGAUGCGGACUUGGUGUUGGGGUGGCUUUGAGCUGCUUCAGUGCCGAAGGGAAGCUGUUAAGUCCGCUGCCUGGGAAGUACGGUCGCAAGACUGAAACUUAAAGGAAUG
This 521-nucleotide ribosomal RNA is filed under the name uncultured bacterium. RNAcentral describes it as "bacterial SSU rRNA". It matches the Rfam family "Archaeal small subunit ribosomal RNA", at positions 345 to 866 of the family's 1478-position model. The record is from RNAcentral.